Molecule: unclassified non-coding RNA, 10168 nt
Filed under: Haliotis rufescens (red abalone)
Lineage: Eukaryota; Metazoa; Mollusca; Gastropoda; Lepetellida; Haliotidae
Description: reversion-inducing cysteine-rich protein with Kazal motifs-like, transcript variant X1
Source: RNAcentral
UGUGGUUAGCGGAGGAGGAGAAUGGAACAGCCUAUUGUUGUGUAGGAUGUAGGCGCUGAUCGAGACUAGUGUGAGAAGUCAGUGCUUCAAUCAUGACCACGGAUGUACAAGGACGUACUUUUACUCCAACAUGAAUUUACUCUGUUUUUCUGUGAUUCUACUUGUUGCCUGCGCCGAUUCCGAAGCACCGGUGUGCUGCUCGAAGCUGGGACGACACACAACAUGCAAGUACUACUGUCAGCAGUUGCUGAGAGAGGGGACGUAUGUCCAGCAGAUGAAGCAGGUGUUGACGGCAGCGGAGCACUGUCCCUAUGACCUGGAUGAGUUUUGGCAGUGUGUCAACAUCAGUGUCCCAGUGAUGCGGCAACUGGAACAGUGGUCGGGACGACCUUGUUGUGACCUCGCGAUGACCUCCGCUUGCAAGCAGACAUGUCAAAGGGCCCACUCCAUGAAGGACAUCGACUCCACCCACUGCGAUCGGAACACGGAGAAGUCACUCUAUAAAUGUCUACACCGACACAGCGUGGGAAACAAGUGUUGUCAUCAGUCAGUGCGGGACAGCUGCAGCAUCGUCUGUCACAGCUUCUUCCUGUUGGGGUCAACGACGGCCAGAGCAAACCGUGACGUGGUGUACCGACAUUGCAAGGGGGGAAGUCUGCCAGUGGCCAAGUGUGUCCAGAACCAGACCCGCUCGGCCAGAGCCAGCAUCCCUCAAGACAACAUACCUUGCUGUCAGAAAGCCAAAACGCAGAAGUGCCAAGAGGAGUGUGAGAGAGUGUUGAAGACGUCCUUGACGGAUGACGAGAUGGUAGAGGCCCUCAUCAAAACCUGUGACUCCCCAGACAUGCGGGAUCCCUUGUGGCAGUGUUUCCUGUCUCCCCCAGUUACCAAGAAGAAUGAGACCCAGCCUGCCACCGCCUUCGAUAGUGCAAGACUCCAGUGCUGUGCCAAAGCAUCUUCGGAUCGCUGUAGGGAGCUUUGCACACAUACGUACACAAAGAGCUGGACGAAGCACGGAUCCGAGUUUGACAAGAGUUGUUCGUUUAUCCAGCCUGUCUCUGUACUGGAGGCCCCCAUGCACAACUGUCUGCAUGAUGUUGAUGAACCCUGCAAACUUGGGUGCAGCCAGCUGGAGUUCUGCACCAACUUCAACUUCCGUCCAACCGAGCCCUUCCGGUCGUGCACCAGGUCAGCGGACGAGAGUGCACGCAAGACGAUCGAGAUCUGGCAGAAGGGGAUCAUCUCCCUGCCCCAGAUGACCAUCCCAGUCAAAGAUAUCCGUGAGUGUGAGCCGGAGUUGUGGAAGGCCAUCGCUUGUGCUGUUCAGAUCAAACCCUGCCACUCCAAGCCCAGCCCUAUCUCAAUCUGUCAGGAGGACUGCAUCUACAUCCUCAACAAGUGCGUGGACUACACACGUCUCAACAGCGACCAGAGCGUACCCCAGCUGUGUCACCCGCUGCCUAAACUCUCGGACCCAGGGGCCUGCACGUCAGUCACCAGAUACCUCACGGAAAGUGAGCAUGUGUCGAAGUCGUGGGAGGUGACCAGCCCGUGUCGCCCCAACCCGUGUCGGUCUCGGGAGCUGUGUCUUGUCCGCCGCAGGAAGUGUAAACACAAGGACAAUUGCAAACCUUAUAUAUGUAAAUCAGCCUGCCUGCUGGGACACGUGUCCAGCUUCCUUGUCCCCCACGGAGCCUACGUCCGGAUCCCGGACCAGCAGACUAGCACGCGCAGCCAGCAGUGCUUCAAGGCGUGCCGCUGCGGCCACCGCAGGGAGGUCGGCAACUGCUCUCCCCUCACAUGCUUGCAGAACAAGAACUGCAACAUGGGACCCGGACAUAUCAAAGAUCAUGGCAGCCAUUUUGUGGUUGAUGGAAGCAACUGUAUCUGCAACGCUGGUCACCUGAUCUGUGCCCGCCGGACAUGCUCAGUGGACCCUGGUCUCACGGCCGGUCACUACACAGGCAUGCCAGGCAACUGCCCUGCCACCUACCAGCCGAUGUGUGGAGGAAACGGAAAGACUUUCCCCAACGCCUGCCUCGCCAAGUGUGCGGGACUACAGGAGAGUGAUCUACAGAUUGGCGUGUGCAGCACCAUCGACCCGUGUCAGAAUGAUCCAUGUGGGGAGGGGCUUAGAUGUGUUGCUAGGCGACAAGUCUGCAUCACCGGGAAGAACUGUCUACAACACGAGUGCAUUCCUGCAACCGACUUCAACAACUGCAACAACCACAUCCACGACCCUGUGUGCAACACUCACGGAGAGGAGUUCACCAAUGCCUGUCUCCUGUACUCCCACGGACGGAAACUAGCCUAUAGGGGGCACUGUAUGACGAACUGUGCAGAUUCGGGUACCGUGUGCGGCCACAACGGGGAGACCUACCCCAGCGAGUGCGCUGCUUUGGCCGACCGUGUUACCAUGGACUACCGCGGGGAGUGCCGCGCCUUCGGGAACCUCACAGCUAAUUCACCGAAGACAAGCACCUGCGCCCACAUCAAGUGUCCAGAGCUUCGACCAAAACACUGUCACGGAGUUACACCUCCUGGCGCCUGUUGCCCUAUCUGUGCCGCCGAGCUCCAAGCGCUGUUUGACCCGCGAGUAGCUGAGUUUGCUGCCAAGGAGAUGGGUGGUGGUCCUAUGAGUGUCACUGUCCUCCUCAACAUGCUGUCCGACCACCUGAUGGUAGCAGAGUGCGAUGUGUUUGGAUAUCUUGGUGUAGAUGGCGCUCUCAUCAUCCUCAUCGCCCCGGUAACGCAGGACCCAACAGAACUCCAGGUUGAAGCUUGCAUUAGCGAAGCUCGGAGGUUGGAGGAUCUCAUUCGAACAGGAAGUCCGACGCUGAUGUCCUACCUGACCUUGACCCCUUUACUCCUUGCCCCAAUGAGAGCUCCGCGUCUCGGCCGUGUCAACACUGCAGCCAUCUUGUCUCCUGCCUCCUUAUCAGUUCUGGUUGCCAUGACAAUACUAACAUUAAUAGUCACACGAACAAAGUUGUGAUGACUCUAAGAAUCUCAAAAAUUCUAUUUUUGUUUCCAUGUUUGAAAAAAUACAACAUUAUUUGAAGUUGUGACCAUGAUGCCAACAAACAAUGUUGCUAAGCAACCAUCUAAACGACACCUGGUGUUUUUUAUUGAAGGUGUUUCUUCUUUAGCCUUGUCCAUUUCUUGGAGGAAUGGAUGAUGAAAAAAUUCUGGUCAAAGACAAAUGUGAUCUAUAGUUAAGGGUCUGUUUGGGAGAAAAACUUACACAGCAAGUUGAAGGAAACAGUUCAUCAAUGGAGAAAACCCUAACAGACCCUCUGAAAAAGGUUACCUUAAGGAUCUGCACAUUCAAAUUCAGGGAUUAGAGUCAUGUGAAGCUUGCCAUAUAUUAAAAUGGUGGGCUGUCAUGUGAAAAACAUUCACAUUUUGUAAAAUGUGUUCAGUCAGAGAAAGGGCACUAGUACAAGUGGUGACAGUUUUGUAGCUUUAGAGGAGAAAUACAGCGUUCUUUGAACACCGUAAGAAGAUGUUGUGCCAAAACAGGACCUUUCGGGACGAUGUCCUGCAGUGUGGCAAAAUGACGAAUCUUCCGCUCUGGACUUCGAAACAAGUUGUCAUGUGAAAUUGUCAUGUGACUCUACAAAUGGUCGUGUGAAUCGCCAAGUUACAUUGUCAUGAGACAUUAAGUAGUCGUGUUACACAAGUGACCAGGCGACAUUUAUGAACUCAGUCAUAUGACUCUUCAAGUGGUCAUGUGAUGUUUCUGUGUGAAGGUUGUUGGGGAUGUAGAAUGAUUGGAAGUGAUAGUAGUUCUCAGGAGGCGUCAUAUGGCCUCACAUACCCCUACACUGGAGAUAUUGCUAUAACGAUAUAUUGCGAUGUACCAAAGGUCUCCUUAACGAGAAGCUAUACUCUAGAGGUAGCUGUUGACCGUCAGUAUGUGAUAUUUCAGUCUGUGUGCUCGUUCUGUAUUAUGGGAUGUAUAUAUGUCUUUACUUUCCGUCGUAGUGGCAUAUUUAGUGCUAUGAGGAGUUGUCUCCCCUUACCCCACAUUAAAUUUGAUGUCAUUUAUUUUAUUUUUUUAGAAUUAUUUUUUUUAUACAUUUUGAUUUUUUUUCAGUUAUUUAUACCAUGUAGCUUCCCUUACUUGACCUGAUACAUUAGUGAGUUAACAUUUUAAAGAUGAACAAUAAAUAACUGUCCCAGCAUCACUGUAUCCCCUGGUGGUAGAUGGUGUAAGGGGAGACAAUUCUACCAUGAUUUAUCUGACUAUGAGAGCAACCCACACCUGUAUUGACCUGUCCCCAUGUUGACAGUAUCUGUUGAAGAAUCAGUAUUCCUAAAACUACUUACCACAUAUCAGAUCUAUGUCUCGGUUGUCAUACGGUUGAUGUGAUCUCUUAAAUUCUACUCCCCUAAGGAAAAUGCAAGAACAACGAAAAAUUGCAUCUCACCUUUAACUCUUGUGUAAUAAUCCUAACCCUAGUAAAUUAUGUUAAUCCUACCCUACUGACUGCUGUGAAUGUGUGAAGUUUGUGUGUGUGAAUGUGUGAAUGUUUCAGGUUUGAGUGUGUGAAUGUGUGUUAGAAAGGUAUAUUCAUUGUUUACUUAGUGUAAUGUACAAAGCAACACCUUUUGCCAUGUUUUUUGUCUUUGUUGCCAUGGUUAUCACUGUUGCUAUGGUUCUUCUUUCUGUAACCAUAGUUUUUUAACCGUUUGCUUUCCAUUAUUCCCAUGGUGACAACCGUUUGUAUUAUGAAAACUGAAUCAAAAUCAACUCUAGUUCUUCUGCACUAGUGGUACUUGCUAAAGUAAUUACCUUAGAUUUUUAAUAACCAUGGUAACAAGGUCAUAGAAUUAGCAGACAUGUAUCAGAGAUAUAUUUUUGUGAAUCUCAUUAGAUUGGUUACCAUGUCAACCUGAAUAUUGGCCAAUGGAAUGCAGUGUAUUGAUCUGAACAGAACUACUUCUAAUGUACGUCACUCCAAUUUGGACAAUUUCAUUUAAUAAUACUUCCAGGAAAACACUGUCCAUUCACAGAAAACUGAAAUCUUUUUAUCAUUUUAAUACAUUGUUUGUGUAAACAAAAGAGUAAUUAAAUAAUGCCAGAGUGUUGUAUGUUGCUGGGAUGACUCACCAUUAGAGAAUAGUUCUGUUCUUGAAUGGCAUAAUUCUAUUUCGGUCGGCGUACCCCCCGGACCCCAGCCUAUGUGUGCUUGUUGCUAUUACUCCUUUUUGUUUGUUGCUUUAUAUUUAUCUUUCAUGAUUUUGUGUUAUUGCAUAAUUUAACCCAAACCAACAGUUCUGGAUACUUGUUACGAUGGUUGUAAGAUUUAUACUUUGUUUUUGAAUCUGUUUUGUUUCAAUCAUUAACGACACCAAAUAUUGCCAAGACUACUAAAAUGCUGCCGCCAAAUGGAUUGUAUCGGUAGUGAUAGACUUAUGAGUGAGUGAGUGUUUUCAGUUUUACUCAGUGUGUAAAUCAUUUAGUAAAACUUCUGCCCGUAACCCCUGCCUCGACAUUUACAAAAAUCCUAACCCUGGCAAGAAGUAUUAAGAAAUUAUUUGUGUAGUGUUUGGGUAAGGGUUAUGUUGCCCUAACCCAGGCAAAAUUUGAAGCAUGGGUUUCGGUCGGAAAUAUUUACAGUCAUUGUAUUUCCUUAUCAUGCCAAAGAUAAUUGCUUGCUCUAGUUCCAAUCAUGCUUUAUAUUUAAAUUCUUGUGUUGGCUUCAAGAUACGUUUUCUGAAGGAUAAACUAUGAAGUGAGACAGCUUGACAAACCACAAUAAUAUUUAAAUAGUUUAGACCAUGGCCUGCCAUGACUCUCAUAGAGUUACCUCCCUUUGCAGUGUUCUGGUCAGCCUGUGCAUGCGUGUGACCUCGGUUUACAACAGUGACUGGCGGCCAGACUGUCACAAGGCAGGGAACUCAUGCUUUGACGCUUUAGUUGUUGACUUUGUCUUACAAAUUGGAAAUGUUCGACUUGUGGUAUUGAAAACUUGCAGUGUACGUUAGACUCACAAAGGUAGCGGUUACUGUUGUGCUUCACAACAAGCAUAAUGUCAGACCAGAGGGUUGUGUGACAUCAAGGGCGACAGGUGGAUCAGAUGUGCCCAGUCCCGACAUGUUUCUUGAAUCUAUAGUCAACAUUUUGUGAGCAUUUGGAACCGGGGCAUAAUGUAAAAAUAUUUCACAGUAGUACAUUGUCAAAUUCUAACAGUCAAAUGCAUUUUGAGCUUUCUAAAUUAAAUGGCAGAUUCCUGGGGUGGGACCUUGAUUUUGUUUAAUAAUUAUACCUGUUAAUUAAUUAUCCACUUUUGACUCCCUUUUGAAAACUGUAAUCCAUCUUUUAUGUUAACUGUUUCUUACGACCCUAACACCUGUUUGGUUUGUCCCCUCCACCCACCUUCUCAUAGUCCUGCCUACUUCUGCUGUAGCUAACUGCCUUGCUGCAAAUACAAUGGCAUGUUGUACAAUCCAAUGGCUUGUUAUAUGACACAACAGUAUGUUGUAUAACACAAUGGCAAUGUUGUACAAUCCAAUGGCAUGUUAUAUGACACAACAGUAUGUUGUAUAACACAAUGGCUAUGUUGUACAGUCCAAUGGUCCUGUUCUACAGGUCAAUGGCAGGUUAUACAACAAUCUUGUAUAACACAGUGGUCAUGUUGUACAAUCCUGUAGUCAUGUUCUACAGGUCAAUGGCAGGUUAUACAACAUGAUGGAAUCUUGACAAUGGUCAUGUUGUACCAUACAAUGGCUUUAUUGUUCAAAGCAAUGGCUGUAUUGUACAACACAGUGACUAUAUUGUACAACACAGUGGCUAUAUUGUUCAACACAGUGACUAUAUUGUACAAAGCAAUGGCUAUAUUGUACAACAGUGACUAUAUUGUACGAAGCAAUGGCUAUAUUGUACAACACAGUGACUAUAUUGUACAAAGCAAUGGCUAUAUUGUACAACAUUGUACUUGUAUUAAGUAUUGUUACCUACCAACUUCUAAAAAUACCAAACAGUUGAUGUUGUACAACACAAUGGCUGUGUUGUACCCCCUGUACAGAUUGCUGUGUACUCAAAGUGCUAUGUUGUGGUUGAGUGAGUGUGCUCACUAUGUCUGUGACAAUCAGUUGAAAUGUAAUUAACCAAGAUGACAAAAAAAAACGAGACAAUUUUUUAUCAGCAUUUUUGUGUCUUUUAUACAUUGUUUUUGUGCUGUUUUUGUUUGUGUGAUAAUUUAUCUUUGGCGCUGCAAGAUAAAUAAACUAAUAGUUGUCUUUUCAUACAUGUACUGUGCAGGGAAUUAUGGCUGGAAGUGGCAUGGGGAAAUAGGAUUGUUGUUGGGACAGGGAAAUAAUAAUAAUAAAUGGGGAAAUAGGAUCCUAGGUGGGAAGGAGAAAUAAUAGUAUAUGGGGAAAUAGGAUCCUAGGUGGGAAGGGGAAAUAAUAAUAUAUCAUGAUAUAUGGGGAAAUAGGAUCCUAGGUGGGAAGGGGAAAUAAUAGAAUAUAGGGGAAAUAGGAUCUUUGUCAGGGAGGUGAAAUAAAAGAUGCUGGACAUAAAAUUUGGUUGGGAAAUAUAGCUGUAACUGGCAUGCGGAAAUACUUCCCUUAUAAGGGAGGUGGAAUUUGGAAUUUGCGGAUAUGUUGUUGUCUGCAUGACGAAAUGUCCUAUGGGCUUGUUAUUUAUAUUUUUUUGCAUUGUGAAAAGGAACAUGGGCAUUAUUACAAUCCGCUGUUUGAAUGUUUUAAAGUUUGUUUAUGGGGUGGGCGGGUACCUGCAUUGUAUGGGGUGGGAGAGCUAUAUUCAGGUGUAAUUUAUUAUGUGUGACAAGGCAUACUGAGCGCAAACUGCUCAGUGUGCGUGUGUUUUGUGGACGUUACAGUCACUGUAUUUAUAAACAUGCAUGGAAUUUUGUUACUGGUAGGACAAAUGGAAUUGGGUUUCCACUGAUUAUAUUUGUUCUCAUUCAAGUGUCAUGUUGUUUGCCAUAACAAGGUGGACAUGGGUUGGUUCAUUGUCAUUCAUUGGGCACAGCCUACUUCAACCCUUGGCCAGGUGACAGAGGCGGAGUUGAAUGAUAGUGUUAAUCUCUCUGUGUAUUGUGUUCAGAUAUGCUCUUGGACUAUUUGUGAUACACACGUGAACACCGACCAACUAGUAUUACCACAAUGUGCAUUCACACAAGUAGGACAACAACUGAGGAAACGUGCCAGACAUUACAAUGGAGAGACUUUGUAAGUUGUACAUGGCAUUGAUAUUCUGUAACCAUGGCAACUGUUGAAUUAUUUCCAUUUAGGAAAAGCCGGCAAUGUGUUCACAUUGGGUAGAUUUUAUCCUGCAUUAGGACCACCACUUAUUGCGUUGUCAUUCUACAAGGCCACAUGUUGCUACAUUAAGCUAAAAAAAAUAAUCGUCUUGGUUCUCAGGCACCACCCACAUCAUCAUUUUCAAUUUGCAGAAAAAAAAUAAAAAUUCUAAUACUUUAAAACAAUUUGAUCCAAUAUAGCACGCAGUUACUUCCCUUUACAAGCGCACUGCUUUACUGCGUAUCUCAUGUUAUGGUCAUGGCGGCAAUUGGAGUUUGUACGCUUGUUUAUGUAGGGAGCAAAAGAAAAUCACCUCCAAACCGCACUAUAUUUUCAAAAGUCAUUGCCUGAGAACCAGUUCUUUUAUUUUUUUAAGCAUUAUCGUCCUUGAUUAUUGUAGGCCUAGUGUGUACAGGAGUGGCUGGAAAGACUAGAGUUUAGAUUAUUGAAAGAUCUACAUAGCUUGGUGAAUUAUUAUCAUCACCAAGUCCUUGUUUUGAAUUCACAUUUCUAAAUCAGUGAGACAGAAUGAACAAACACUUAGCCGGUUGUAGUUUAACGACAUUUGAAAGGUGACUUCCACUACAAGUUGUGUUUCUUGUAAAUGUAUAACAAAGCUGAUAGCAUCUCAUUUGCAUAUGUCUCGGGUUGAGGGGAAAACGCAUGUAUCACAUCCAGGAUCAGGUCAAAAUAUUUCUGGAUUUACAAAACAUCCGAGUCUGCACUUCUCCAGCUGGCGUACACUAUGUUCCCCCAGGGAGGGAUGUAGCAGCACACGCUGGAGAACUGUUGACGAAGAUGUGAUGCUAGUACAGAUUUGUGCAGGUAUUCAGAAUGGUAGUGAGUUAUAGAAGACGCCUGUCACUGAAUGUCAGUCUGAAUGCAUCCAAACUCAUUCUGUCACUGAAUGUCAGUCUGAAUAUAUCCAAACUCAUUCUGGCACUGAAACCCUAGUCAGAUUAAGCCAUGAAUUAAAUUUGAAAUUGCGAUAAAUGUCUUUCCUUUAGACUUAGACUUUAGAUAUUUUGUUAAGUAUUCCUUGAUGGAUUCUUAAGACUUAAUUUGGUUCUUGGUGCAAGGCCUGAUGUGGAACUUUGAAAUAGAAGUAGGGUCUUCGUGCUGAGAUUGUAUGACCCACGUUUUGCAGGUUUAUGUUGUGGUAGAUGCUAAAACUGCAUACUUACAAAAUUGUUGCUAGGAGACUAGGGUUAUCCUAUACUAUAACACAGACCAAGUUGUUGCAAUGUUAUAGUAUAGUCUUAUUGCAACAAUGUUUGGUCAUUUUUGUUAUUAUGUAGGAUAUUACAAAUCUUAGUGCUACAACUGUUGUAAGUCUUUGUUUGGUUAGAGGAGUCUUAUCACUACAACUGUUGUACUCUGUUAAUGUAUGAGAGUUACAUUGGCUUAGUGCUAAGAUUACUUUUUUACGAGUAGGCCCCGGGAGGGUCCCUUGCAACAAGCUAUCUUAGCGCUACAGCUGUAAACUCCCAUACUUUACUAUAGGCUUAUGAAUGUCAUACUGCUAAGAUGGUUUGUGGAACAGGUCCAGGGUGUCCUUUAUACCAAGCUAUCUUAGCGCUAAGGUCAUCGUAACUCCCAUACUUUUAAAUGUGAGCCUCGUUAUGGGAAUAUGCAAAUGAGAUGAGAUCUGGGAGUGAGUGAGUGAGUGAGACGUGGAGUAUUAUCGUGUGUGGUUCCUGUUCUAGUCACGAGUACAGAGGUUACAGUGUAUCGCUAUGCAAGUCGUGCGUCACCUCUGCGUGUUUGUUGCAUUUAUACUUGAUGAUCAUUUGACUUGUGUACAUAGUAAUGUCUGUUUUAUCCUCCAUGUUGCUCCUCACAAUUGUACAGUUCUCGUUAAAACAGGACAAUAAAAUCCAUACAGUUUCUA